Molecule: small RNA, 2328 nt
Filed under: Pongo abelii (Sumatran orangutan)
Lineage: Eukaryota; Metazoa; Chordata; Mammalia; Primates; Hominidae
Description: retained intron
Source: RNAcentral
UCUUUGCUCAGAGCUCAGCCCUACAUAGAUCGGCUUCUGCCAUGGCCUCCAAACAAACCAAAAAGAAAGAGGUGCAUCGUAUCAACUCGGCGCACGGAUCGGAUAAAUCAAAAGAUUUCUAUCCUUUCGGCAGUAAUGUACAAUCUGGUUCUAUUGAACAAAAGAAGGGGAAAUUCCCAAUCUGGCCAGAGUGGAGUGAAGCUGACAUAAAUUCAGAAAAGUGGGAUUCAGGCAAAGGUGCAAAAGAAAAGGACAAAACAGGAAAAAGCCCUGUAUUUCAUUUUUUUGAGGAUCCUGAAGGAAAGAUUGAGUUACCACCAUCCUUGAAAAUUUAUUCCUGGAAACGUCCACAAGAUAUUUUAUUUAGCCGGACUCCAGUAGUUGUGAAAAAUGAAAUCACGUUUGACUUAUUUUCAGCAAAUGAACAUUUACUCUGCAGUGAGCUGAUGAGAUGGAUUAUCAGUGAAAUCUAUGCAGUGUGGAAGAUCUUCAAUGGAGGAAUUUUGAGCAAUUAUUUUAAGGGGACUUCAGGGGAACCUCCUCUUCUCCCCUGGAAGCCCUGGGAACACAUAUACUCUCUGUGCAAGGCUGUGAAGGGUCAUAUGCCUUUGUUCAAUAGCUAUGGAAAGUAUGUUGUGAGACUUUACUGGAUGGGUUGCUGGAGAAAGAUAACGAUUGAUGACUUUUUGCCUUUUGAUGAAGAUAACAAUCUAUUGCUUCCAGCUACAACUUAUGAAUUUGAACUGUGGCCAAUGCUUUUGUCUAAAGCUAUUAUCAAGCUGGCAAAUAUUGACAUCCAUGUAGCAGACAGGAGAGAGCUGGGGGAGUUCACGGUUAUUCAUGCGCUCACAGGGUGGUUACCAGAAGUCAUUUCUCUUCACCCGGGAUAUAUGGACAAAGUUUGGGAGCUCCUGAAAGAAAUAUUGCCUGAGUUUAAGCUGUCAGAUGAGGCCAGCUCUGAAAGCAAAAUAGCAGUGUUAGAUUCUAAAUUAAAAGAACCAGGGAAAGAAGGGAAGGAGGGAAAAGAAAUAAAGGAUGGAAAGGAAGUAAAAGACAUGAAGGAAUUCAAACCUGAAAGUUCUUUGACAACACUAAAGGCUCCUGAGAAAAGUGACAAAGUUCCAAAGGAGAAAGCAGAUGCAAGAGACAUUGGAAAGAAGAGAAGCAAAGACGGAGAAAAAGAAAAAUUCAAAUUCUCACUUCACGGUUCAAGACCCUCAUCAGAAGUGCAGUACUCUGUGCAGUCCUUGUCAGAUUGUUCUUCUGCAAUACAGACCUCUCAUAUGGUCGUAUAUGCGACAUUUACACCUCUUUAUUUGUUUGAAAACAAGAUCUUUUCAUUAGAGAAGAUGGCAUAUUCUGCUGAGAAACUUAGAGAAUAUGGGCUUUCCCACAUCUGUAGCCAUCCUGUGCUGGUGACUAGAAGUAGGUCUUGUCCUCUGGUAGCACCACCAAAACCACCUCCUGUACCUCCCUGGAAACUCAUUCGUCAAAAAAAGGAAACUGUUAUAACAGAUGAAGCUCAAGAGUUAAUAGUAAAGAAGCCUGAACAGUUCCUUGAGAUUUCAAGUCCAUUUUUGAAUUAUAGAAUGACUCCAUUUACAAUUCCAACAGAAACGCAUUUUGUGCCCUCCUUAAUUAAGAAAGGAAUACCUCCAGUAUCUGAUUUACCUUCCGUCAGUGAAACUGAUGAAACUGCAACACAUAGCCAGACAGACUUGAGUCAAAUAACAAAAGCUACAUCUCAGGGAAAUACUGCUUCACAAGUUAUACUUGGAAAAGGCACAGAUGAACAAACAGACUUUGGAUUGGGUGAUGCUCAUCAGAGUGAUGGAUUAAACUUGGAAAGAGAUAUAGUCAGCCAGACCACAGAAACACAGGAAAAGUCACAGGAAGAACUUCCAACAACAAAUAAUAGUGUUUCUAAAGAAAUAUGGUUAGAUUUUGAAGAUUUCUGUGUAUGCUUUCAAAAUAUAUAUAUUUUCCACAAGCCAAGUUCAUAUUGCCUUAACUUUCAAAAAUCAGAAUUUAAGUUCACAGAAGAAAGAGUGUCCUACUAUCUAUUUGUAGAUAGUCUAAAACCUAUUGAACUACUGGUUUGCUUUUCUGCAUUGGUACGCUGGGGGGAGUAUGGAGCCUUAACAAAAGACAGUCCUCCCAUAGAGCCUGGACUUCUCACAGCUGAAACGUUUUCUUGGAAAUCCCUGAAACCAGGCAGUCUUGUUCUGAAGAUUCACACAUAUGCUACCAAGGCUGCAGUGGUUCGUCUGCCUGUUGGGUAUGAAGUGACUUCAUUUUUCCCACAACAAAAAUUGUUUGAAGGCUUGC